AUGCUUUUCUUAGGUGUUCUUGACCUCUUCUUGCUUCCAGUUACAUUUUCUGCAGAGUCCAGUUUCUGCUUUGGAGUUUGGUUAAACAAUUUGAUGCCUUCAUCAUCACCUCCUGGUUCUCCGUAUGAGUGUGUGCUUUCCCUCAGUGUUUGGGUGGGCUUCCUGAAAGCUGAGGGCUCUUCUUCUAGGUCCAAUUUCUGGAGAGGGAUCUCAAGCUGCCUCCUUCUACUUGUUGGUGUGUUGAAUGGUUCAGCUAAUGGAGAUUUGCAGGGUAUGUUGGUGGUUUUGCCAUCAGUCAUUGGGUCCUGGGUGUGCUCUGGGGUUUGGAAGAGCUCUCUGAUGCCAGCCAGGUCUUCUAAGGACUGGAUGCUUUUCUUAGGUGUUCUUGACCUCCUCUUGCUUCUAGUUACAUUUUCUGCAGAGUACAGUUUCUGUUUUGGGGUAUCCUUAAACCUUUUGAUGAACUCAUCAUCACCUCCUGGUUCUUUAUGUGAGUGUGUGUUUUUCCCCAGCGUUUGGGUGGGCUUCCUGAGAGCUGAGGGCUCUUCUUCUGGGUCUACUUUCUGGAGAGGGGUAUUGAUCUGCCUUCUUCUACUUGGUGUGUUGACUGGUUCUGCUAGUGGAGAUUUGCAGGGUACGCUGGUGGCUUUGCCAUCAGCCAUUGCUUUAUCUGUUUGGUUUGGUGUUUGCAAGAGCUCUCCGAGGCCAGCCAGGUCUUCUAAGGACCGGAUGCUUUUCUUAGGUGUUCUUGACCUCUUCUUGCUUCCAGUUACAUUUUCUGCAGAGUCCAGUUUCUGCUUUGGAGUUUGGUUAAACAAUUUGAUGCCUUCAUCACCACCUCCUGGUUCUCCGUGUGAGUGUGUGCUUUCCCUCGGUGUUUGGGUGGGCUUCCUGAAAGCUGAGGGCUCUUCCUCUAGGCUUACUUUCUGGACAGGGGUCUUGAUCUGCCUCUUUCUGAUUGUUGGUGUAUUGACUGGAUCUGCUAGUGGAGAUUUGCAGGGUACUUUGGUGGUUUUGUCAUCAGCCAUUGGUUUAUCUGUUUGGUUUGGUGUUUUAAAGAGCUCUCUGAAGCCAGCCAGGUCUUCUAAAGACUGGAUGUUUUUCUUAGGUGUUCUUGACCUCCUCUUCCUCUUGCUUCCUGUUACAUUUUCUGCAGAGUUCAGUUUCUGCUUUGGGGUAUCCUUGAACCUUUUGAUGCCUUCAUCAUCACCUCCUGGUUCUUUAUGUGAGUGUGUGCUUUCCCCCAGCAUUUGGGUGGGCUUCCUGAGAGCUGAGGGCUCUUCCUCUAAGCCUACUUUCUGGAGAGAGGUCUUGAUCUGCCUCCUACUUGGUGUAUUGACUGGAUCUGCUAGUGGAGAUCUGCAGGGAACUUUGGUGGUUUUGUCAUCAGCCACUGGUUUAUCUGUUUGGUUUGGUGUUUGCAAGAGCUCUCUGAGGCCAACCAGGUCUUCUAAGGACUGGGCAGUUUUCUUAGGUGUUCUUGACCUUCUCUUGCUUCCAGUUACAAUUUCUGCAAAGUCCAGUUUCUGUUUUGGAGUUUGGUUAAAUAAUUUGAUGUCUUCAUCAUCACCAUCUCCUGGUUCUCUGUGUGAGUGUGUGCUUUCCCUCGGUGUUUGGGUGUGCUUCCUGAAAGCUGAGGGCUCUUCCUCUAGGCCUACUUUCUGGAGAGGGGUCUUGAUUUGCCUCUUUCUGAUUGUUGGUGUAUUGACUGGAUCUACUAGUGGAGAUUUGCAGGGGUACUUUGGUGGAGAUCAGGGCAAUAGUAGAAGCAAAGGAGGAGAACAUGAGAAGGGCCGUGUCUUGGGCAGAGACUUGGCUGAUAGAGGACAGGAGACACGGCAGAGAUGUUGAUGGAGCAUCUCUUGCCAAUGGGGUGUGCUGUGUCCCUUGAGAGGGAGACAAGGUGGUGUGGGGGUGACUCUGGCCUCCCCUCCAUCGGACCUGGUCUUGGACAAGACUAUCUGAGGUCAGAACAUCCUUCUCCUGCCUUUCUCCACAGAGUGGUGAUGACCAGCCAGAGGCUGCAGAGGAAACCACAGGGGUCCAAGCCAAGGAGACUUCAGAUGGAGAUGAGCCAGGGGGGAUCGUCCUGAAAGCCACUUAG
Molecule: long non-coding RNA, 2104 nt
Filed under: Canis lupus familiaris (dog)
Lineage: Eukaryota; Metazoa; Chordata; Mammalia; Carnivora; Canidae
Description: lncRNA (ENSCAFG00030026285.1)
Source: RNAcentral